ACGAACGCUGGCGGCAUGCCUAACACGUGCAAGUCGAACGAGACCUUCGGGUCUAGUGGCGCACGGGUGCGUAACGCGUGGGAACCUGCCCUUAGGUUCGGAAUAACUCCCCGAAAGGGGUGCUAAUACCGGAUAAUGUCUUCGGACCAAAGAUUUAUCGCCUUUGGAUGGGCCCGCGUUGGAUUAGCUAGUUGGUAGGGUAAAAGCCUACCAAGGCGACGAUCCAUAGCUGGUCUGAGAGGAUGAUCAGCCACACUGGGACUGAGACACGGCCCAGACUCCUACGGGAGGCAGCAGUGGGGAAUAUUGGACAAUGGGCGAAAGCCUGAUCCAGCAAUGCCGCGUGAGUGAUGAAGGCCUUAGGGUUGUAAAGCUCUUUUACCCGGGAUGAUAAUGACAGUACCGGGAGAAUAAGCUCCGGCUAACUCCGUG
This 432-nucleotide ribosomal RNA is filed under the name uncultured bacterium. Its description in RNAcentral is "partial 16S ribosomal RNA". It matches the Rfam family "Bacterial small subunit ribosomal RNA", at positions 29 to 507 of the family's 1533-position model. The record is from RNAcentral.